AAUCCCUGUAGUAUCUCAGGCUUUGAUCGGC
Molecule: non-coding RNA, 31 nt
Filed under: Homo sapiens (human)
Lineage: Eukaryota; Metazoa; Chordata; Mammalia; Primates; Hominidae
Source: RNAcentral